UACGGAGGUUGCAAGCGUUGUUCGGAAUUACUGGGCGUAAAGGGAGCGCAGGCGGCCAAGUCAGUCUGAAGUGAAAUCCCGGGGCUUAACCUCGGAAGUGCUUUGGAUACUACUUGGCUAGAGUACGUGAGAGGUGAGCGGAAUUCCAGGUGUAGCGGUGAAAUGCGUAGAUAUCUGGAGGAACACCCGUGGCGAAAGCGGCUCACUGGCGCGUAACUGACGCUGAGGCUCGAAAGCGUGGGGAGCAAACGGG
Molecule: ribosomal RNA, 253 nt
Filed under: uncultured bacterium
Lineage: Bacteria
Description: partial 16S ribosomal RNA
Rfam family: Bacterial small subunit ribosomal RNA
Source: RNAcentral